UAUGAGAGUUUGAUCCUGGCUCAGGACGAACGCUGGCGGCGUGCUACUGUUACAGAAAAUAAUCCCCAUUUUUUCUAGUUCUUUUCCCCCGCCUUCAUAAUCGGAGUGGCGAACGGGUGAGUAACACGUGGGUAACCUGCCCAUCAGAAGGGGAUAACACUUGGAAACAGGUGCUAAUACCGUAUAACAAUCGAAACCGCAUGGUUUUGAUUUGAAAGGCGCUUUCGGGUGUCGCUGAUGGAUGGACCCGCGGUGCAUUAGCUAGUUGGUGAGGUAACGGCUCACCAAGGCCACGAUGCAUAGCCGACCUGAGAGGGUGAUCGGCCACAUUGGGACUGGCUUUGUUUCUAAAAGUUCCUGCAAGAAUAAAAUUCGAUUCUUAGUUACUAAGCCGAUGGGACCCCGAGCAACGCCGCGUGAGUGAAGAAGGUUUUCGGAUCGUAAAACUCUGUUGUUAGAGAAGAACAAGGAUGAGAGUAACUGUUCAUCCCUUGACGGUAUCUAACCAGAAAGCCACGGCUAACUACGUGCCAGCAGCCGCGGUAAUACGUAGGUGGCAAGCGUUGUCCGGAUUUAUUGGGCGUAAAGCGAGCGCAGGCGGUUUCUUAAGUCUGGUUGCCAAUCGUUGUAUCAAGAAAAAAGCAGUUUCUUCUAAUGUAUCUGUACCGUGUGUGAGAGGAGAGUGGAAUUCCAUGUGUAGCGGUGAAAUGCGUAGAUAUAUGGAGGAACACCAGUGGCGAAGGCGGCUCUCUGGUCUGUAACUGACGCUGAGGCUCGAAAGCGUGGGGAGCAAACAGGAUUAGAUACCCUGGUAGUCCACGCCGUAAACGAUGAGUGCUAAGUGUUGGAGGGUUUCCGCCCUUCAGUGCUGCAGCUAACGCAUUAAGCACUCCGCCUGGGGAGUACGACCGCAAGGUUGAAACUCAAAGGAAUUGACGGGGGCCCGCACAAGCGGUGGAGCAUGUGGUUUAAUUCGAAGCAACGCGAAGAACCUUACCAGGUCUUGACAUCCUUUGACCACUCUAGAGAUAGAGCUUCCCCUUCGGGGGCAAAGUGACAGGUGGUGCAUGGUUGUCGUCAGCUCGUGUCGUGAGAUGUUGGGUUAAGUCCCGCAACGAGCGCAACCCUUAUUGUUAGUUGCCAUCAUUCAGUUGGGCACUCUAGCAAGACUGCCGGUGACAAACCGGAGGAAGGUGGGGAUGACGUCAAAUCAUCAUGCCCCUUAUGACCUGGGCUACACACGUGCUACAAUGGGAAGUACAACGAGUUGCGAAGUCGCGAGGCUAAGCUAAUCUCUUAAAGCUUCUCUCAGUUCGGAUUGCAGGCUGCAACUCGCCUGCAUGAAGCCGGAAUCGCUAGUAAUCGCGGAUCAGCACGCCGCGGUGAAUACGUUCCCGGGCCUUGUACACACCGCCCGUCACACCACGAGAGUUUGUAACACCCGAAGUCGGUGAGGUAACCUUUUGGAGCCAGCCGCCUAAGGUGGGAUAGAUGAUUGGGGUGAAGUCGUAACAAGGUAGCCGUAUCGGAAGGUGCGGCUGGAUCACCUCCUU
Molecule: ribosomal RNA, 1553 nt
Filed under: Enterococcus faecium
Lineage: Bacteria; Bacillati; Bacillota; Bacilli; Lactobacillales; Enterococcaceae
Description: bacterial SSU rRNA
Rfam family: Bacterial small subunit ribosomal RNA
Source: RNAcentral